This 274-nucleotide ribosomal RNA is filed under the name Nosema sp. RNAcentral describes it as "partial small subunit ribosomal RNA". It matches the Rfam family "Microsporidia small subunit ribosomal RNA", at positions 520 to 787 of the family's 1311-position model. Lineage: Eukaryota; Fungi; Microsporidia; Nosematidae. The record is from RNAcentral.
UUUUAUAAUAAGCAUUGUGAGGUAUAUUGUAUGGUUAGGAGAGAGAUGAAAUGUGAUAACCCUAACUGGAUGAACAGAAGCGAAAGCUAUAUACUUAAAUGUAUUAUUAGAACAAGGACGUAAGCUAGAGGAUCGAAGAUGAUUAGAUACCAUUGUAGUUCUAGCAGUAAACUAUGUUAAAUCAUAGAUACAUAUUAUAUGUAUUUAUGUAGAGAAAUUAAGAUUAUAUUGACUCUGGGGAUAGUAUGAUCGCAAGAUUGAAAAUUAAAGAAAU